Molecule: long non-coding RNA, 238 nt
Filed under: Carica papaya (papaya)
Lineage: Eukaryota; Viridiplantae; Streptophyta; Magnoliopsida; Brassicales; Caricaceae
Description: long non-coding RNA (CPAP_LNC010265)
Source: RNAcentral
AAACAGCUGACCUGUGGCGGACUACCGCCACAAGCGGCGGCACCGUCGCUGGAGCACGGGGAAGCCACCGUGCCGGAAUUCCAGAAUUGACCAAAAUUGGACCAUGAGGCUGAUUUUGAGUAUUUUUGGGACAUUUGUAGGUACUUAUAGCGUGUUUUGAUUCCCAAAAAAAAAUUCAGGAGAACUACGGACCGUCAGUAAGCGCAAUCAACAGUUUAGCCUUUCGGGUAUCAAAUUG